CCACACCUAAAACUUUUCCACGUGAACCGUAUUUUUGACGUUGGGGACUCCUGGCUUCGGCCGGUUGAGACCUAUCACGCGACCGCUCGGGCUGAAAAGUCGGGGCCAGUAGCCUUUUUUUAAACCCAUUCCGAACUACUGAACCAUACUGUGGGGACGAAAGUCCUUGCUUUUAACUAGAUAGCAACUUUCAGCAGUGGAUGUCUAGGCUCGCACAUCGAUGAAGAACGCUGCGAACUGCGAUACGUAAUGCGAAUUGCAGGAUUCAGUGAGUCAUCGAAAUUUUGAACGCAUAUUGCACUUCCGGGUUAUGCCUGGGAGUAUGCCUGUAUCAGUGUCCGUACAUGAAACUUGGCUCCCUUCCUUCCGUGUAGUCGGUGGAUGGGGACGCGCAGACGUGAAGUGUCUUGCGGCGGCGGCUUCUGCCGGCUGCUGCGAGUCCUUUGAAAUGUAAGACCUGUUCUUCUCUUUGCCCGAAAAGCGUUGCGUGAGUGUGGUUGUGGAGGCUGCCGUUUGCGGCAUGUCGGCGACUGAUUUCGUGCUGAGGCGUGUGGGGAGAGGCUCGAUUCGCGGUAUGGUUGGCUUCGGCUGAACUUCUGCUUAUUGGUCUUUUUUUCGCGGCUUUGGCGUUUUGCGGGGUCGGUGUACCGUAGCUGCGGGUGGCUUGGCCUUUGAACCGUGUUCGUGCGGAGCGAAGUAAGGUGGGCGUGACUGUAGUGUUAUGGCCGAGGGGGACGCAACCAUUUGGGAAAGUAAUGCUUUUCUGCCGGCUUUGGGGCUGGCGGGGCUGCAUCUCGA
Molecule: ribosomal RNA, 798 nt
Filed under: Phytophthora sp. AL-2010a
Lineage: Eukaryota; Oomycota; Peronosporomycetes; Peronosporales; Peronosporaceae
Description: eukaryotic LSU rRNA
Rfam family: 5.8S ribosomal RNA (bases 186-340)
Source: RNAcentral